AACGCAUAUGGCGCCUCGCGGAGCAAUCCGGGAGGCAUGCCUGCUUGAGAAUCAUCUACGUCAUUUAUUUGUUUGGGCCUUCACCAGUGAUCGUCCGGAAUGCGCGCGCCGUCCGGCUGUGUCAUGGAGCAGCAGCGAUCCACGGCAGCCGGCCAAGAAGCACCGUUUUGUGAUCUCAAGUCAGGCAAGAGUACCCGCUGAACUUAA
This 207-nucleotide unclassified non-coding RNA is filed under the name uncultured fungus. RNAcentral's name for it is "partial internal transcribed spacer 2". Lineage: Eukaryota; Fungi. The record is from RNAcentral.